AAUUUGGCCGUGGGUAGGUAAUUGGCUGGAGCGGGGCGGCGGGGCGCGGCAGCCAAUCAGCGCGCGGCUUCUAUAGGGCUUGAGUUAUUAGACGCUGAUCUCAAACAUCGGUCAGCAGACAGCAAGGAGAGGCCAAGAGCUGAGGGGAGCCAUUUUUCUGCAAUGGAAUUAAAUGGCCAAGUGGGUUUUUCCUUUGUUGCAAGUGGGGAACGUGCUUCCUUUGACUCCACCAUCCAGUUCAGGACGCCUGAGUUGUGUUGUUUAACAUUUGUCAACAGGCUAAAGGACUCACAAUUGGAAGAAUGAAGAAGACUUUUUUUUUUUCUUUAAAGAUCUGGAUUUUUCCUUAUGACUUGGAAUCCAUCUUUGUCUUGUAUAACUAGGUCAUAGCACACCAUUAAUGUCAGCAGUUAACAGUUUUGAAUUCCAAAAAACCUUAAGUAAACGACAUAUUUAAUUUUUUCCUCUUUUUUAUUUUUUCUUGGGUAGGUGGGUGGGUGGGUGGGGGUCUUGGAGGCUGUCUUAUUCUGUAUUCUCUUGACUGAACAAUAAAUUUUUAUAUAUAUAUAGUUUCCUCUAUUAAACACUUAAACCUGGCCAUCUUAUUAACUCCUUCUCUCUUUUUAACAAGGUAAUGUUUUUAAGUGUAUAGUUUUAGGACUAGCGAAAUGGCAGCAACAAACAAUUGCGAGCAGUUGUUACUCUUUUUAAGUCUUUAAAAUCCUUUUACAUUGUAAGUACCCUUGCUCAGUGCAGUUUUCAUGUUCAUGUCGGUGAGAUGUCCUGAUUUUCCAGACCUUCAUCUGCAUGUAUGUCUUUGUUUCUCUUGUCUGAUAUAAGCCAGUUUAAAGAAAAAAUGCUUUUGGGCGAUUUUUGCUUUUAUAAAGCUAAGGUUUUUAGCUUUAAGCUUCUGGAAAUGUUUACAGCAAUACAUGCUAGCCAGCUUUCUUCCCAGGAAUGUACACUUUCUUUGAAAAUCGAUCUAGUUGAAGAAAAACAGCUCUGUUUUUCUCGUCUUGUUGGAGGGUGGGUGAGGGAGAGGAAGACCUUGUCUUUGUGUAGAGAGACUAAAGCCGUCACAGGAAACUAGAUUAAAACUGGAAAACAAGUCCUAGCUGGUUCCAGCCAAACACCAGCGUUAACUCGGGGGUAUUUGCUGCGGUGGUUGGGAGGGUGGUGCGUGGCUUUUGCCUUUUGUUUGAUUUGACUGUGUGUUUUCACCACUGCCAUAUCCAGAGCCCUAAACAGCCCUCAGCGAAGCCGCCUUUUUGCCAACCCAACCCUGGAAAGUUUGCAGAAGUGGAAGGACAGAAAAUGCCCCGAGAGUGUAACUUUCAAAAAGGUUUUUGGCCGGAGAAGGGGCCGCGGCAGGUACCCCCUGGGUGGACAGCCCUCCUUUGGACAGCACGAGCAGGCCUAGUUUGAAUCUCAAAGUCCUCCCUCCAAGGUAGGUGUGAACCCUUUUCCCAGGCCGUGAGGGCCACUUGGGGGGCUUUGGCCUGCAGCCCAGUGAGGGCGGGAAUCCCAAACCGGCUGGGCUGGUUCUGCAGCCCCUCCCCCCCACAGAUGUGUGACUGUGUGUGUGUGUGUGUGUGUGUGAGAGCAGCUGCCCGCUGGGCCUGCCGGGCCCCAUCCAUCCCUGCCCGGCAGCCUGGGUUGUCAGGCAUUUGGGGCGUGCAGUUCUUGGCCCAGUGUGGCCACACAGGAAAGGCUGCACUGGCAAGUAUUUCCCAGUUGUGUGUUUGCUGGUUGAGGGGGGCGGGCCUUGGACGCCUGCCUCUGACAGGCACGGGCUGCCAGUACUUGGCCACUGAAGGGGCCGCCCUCUGGUGACCGGCCGCUGGACAACGAAGAACUGAAGUGGGCCCUGGUCUGGGCUGUCUCUUUCCCGGAAACGUGGCCGCCCCUCCCCCGGAUUCCCACCGCGCCUCCGCUCCGCAGGUGGCCAGGGGUAUGUAGCCUUGUUUUGUGCAGACACACCUGCAUUUCGACCUGGCUCUCCAGGUACCCUCUCUGGCCUUGCAGAAGAUGUAUGGUCUCUGAGCCUCAGUUUCCCCAUCUGUAAAAAUGGGGCUGGACCACUGGCCGGCUGGAACUGGAGUGCCUGUCAGAAUCACAUGGGGGGGUGUGCUGAUCCUGGGGCGGAGCCUGGGAACCUGCCUGACGGGCUCUCCGGCCAGGCUUGUUUCCAGACCCUCUGGGCUUGGAAACACCUCUCACAGUGACCCUGAAGCUCGGCUCUCGGAGGGGUUUCGCACCCAGUGCCUUGUCCGUCGCCUCCCGCCACGGGCAGGCCCUGCGUGGCUGUCCUUUGUGGCCGAGAAUCCCUCGGUCCCUGCCCGGCCCCUGCCUCAUGUGAUCUUUUGUUUGUGAUUACUUGCAUGAACCAGUUGGGUCCAGCUGCCUCUGCUGUGAGGCCAGGACCCGCCGUGCCACCUGGGUGACUAAGGCAGGUGGGCGUGGGUUGGGACCCGGACAGGACGGGACUGGUGACCUCGGGUGAGCGUUGCCUGGUGAAAGGAGGACAGUGAUGUGUGCCGGAGAGAGUUGGGGGAGGAUGGCGUGCGACUCAGGGAGCCAUGCUCCCCCGAGAGCUGAUCCUCGCGGGGAGUGGUUGCAGGCACUGGGGGCUGGUGCGGCCCCCUCCCUGAGCACGUGGCGAAGCCCGCGGGCAAAGGGUGGCCAGUCCUUGCCACCCAUGCGCCCAGCUCCAUGGCUGUCCUGUGAUGGGGUCAUGGUUCAGGGUCACUCCCUCCUAGCCUGGGGAGAAGUGAUGUGCCCAAGGUCAAGAGGCCACUGCCCGCAGAGCCGGGAUGGGGCUGCAGGUGUCCUGACUUCCAGCCCAGCGCUGUGCCGUGGCACCCCCCACCCCAGCUGUCUGGGUUAUUUUGGGCUCUGCCUCCCGUGCCAGCUGUCUGCCGGCAGGGCUGGCCGGGAGCUGUCUGGUGGGAAGUAACCAGUGUGGCGACAGCCUUGGCCUCCCUGCCCUGAUGAGGGUGGGCCCCAGGCCCCCUGCCCCUGCACAGGUGAGGGGGGGGAGGGAGGAGGACGAGGUUGUUUUGUAGAAGUUGCCGUGGUUCCCGCCCUUACUGUUGCCUGGGCGCCUGCUUGCCUUCCACGCUGCCCUGGAACCUGAGUUUUGAAUUCAGCUCUGCCCAGAGCCUUCCUUGGGCCUGUGACGUCUGCUCCCGAGGGUGUCCUAUUCCCUUUGGGUUGGGUCCUGGGGGCUCCUUGGCCGGGGUCGCGCCUUCCUGCUUGCUGGCUGCCUAGAUCAUUUCCAUACCCUGGAAGGCUGCGAGCCAGCCUCACCAGUCCUGUCCUUGAACCAGCUGGGGAGCAGUUAGGUGCUGAGCUGUGGUCUGGGCGGGACUCUUGCAGCAGGAGGUGGGAGGCUCUUCCCUCCCUGCCUCCCGGGCUUUUUCACCUCUCUGCCUCUCCUUUCUUUGGCUCCACCUCCAGUGUCACCUGGGGCAGGGCACUCCGUCCUGGAGCUGCUGUUCCAGGCCCCCAGGUGCCCCGCCCACCGGUCACCCAGCGAGUGCGGGGCGGGGCUGCUCCUGGCCACCGGAGAGAGGGCCACGCCAGCGGAAAGGCUGGGAGGUGGCCGCCCUCGUCCCGCCUCUUCCGGCCUCUCCAGCGGGAGCCGCGGCACAGCCUACGGCCUCCUGGGUGCUCAGGUUGUGGAGAGGCAUCCCCACCAUUCUGGGUCAUCCGGGUCCAGUGCCGCCUCCAGCUGGCCCGUGACCCCCGGCAAGCCCUGCCCAAAUGCCCCGGGGAGGAGGCGUCACAGUAACCUUUGGAGCUGUCUUGAGUCUGGCUUUGUGAGGGCGCUGACUCCUGCCCGCCCCCCCCCCCCCCCCGUGUGCAGCUGAGGCCUAAGGACGGCCUUAAGGUCCCCUGGCCACCUCCCUCGGGGACCCCGCCGGGAAGGCUAAGGGUCUUCUGUGUGCUGUGAGUGGGGAGCCCUCAGGGUUUCUCAGACACCCGGUGAAGAGGGCCCGUGAGCAUGGCCAGGGCUGAGCGGUCACUGCACCUUUCCUGCUGGUGGCCUGGCUGUGGCACAGUGAGUCGUCCCUCCCCUCCCCCCCAGCAGCCACCGGCAGCUCCCCUGUGGCAGGAACCAGCAGGGAGAAUCUUCCUUGUCCUGAAACCCUCUAGGAAUUCCUGGGGAAUGGGAGGAGUGUGACAGGGCCCUCAGGAGGACACCCAGGGCCCCCCCCCCCCGCCCCGGGCGUGCCAGCUCCUCCACUGGCCUGGCCCGCCGCCUCCGAGGAGCUGGGAGCAGCUGGCUCGGCUCCUGGGUUUUUUUAGCUCGGAUCCAGCCCCACCAUCGCCACAAGAGCCAGGUCCAGAUCAAACACGCUCCAGGCUGCAGGGAGCUGGGCCCCUGCCAGCCUCCUGGCUGGGCAGCGGUGGGUGGGCAGGCUGGGGCCAGUGUCAGCUGCCCUGCCUGGCCCCAGGCGGGGCUGGGACAGACUCAUUUCUUCCCUCCCUGCACAUUGCGCAUGCUUGCUGUGUCCUAAGUAGACCUCCCGGCCCUGUGUCUCAGACGGAGAGAGUAGAGGCCUGAGGAUUCGGGGGUCCAAGGAGCUCUCCUGUGGGCUCACGUGACAGGAGGGUGCACCUGCGGGGGGGGGCAGCUUCCAUGCCUCCUCUCCUCCCCAGCCUGCCUGAGCUGCACGGUCCCUGCUGCACAGGGCAGUGGCCCCUGCCUUGCCCAGCUCUCUGCCUCCUGCCCCCUUCUCGCCCUGGACACCCGCUUUUCUGACCUCUCUCCACCUGGCCCCUGCCUCACUGGCCUGCUUUUCUCACGCCCCUCUGCUGUUCCGGAGCUGUGUGCCUGACACAGCCCUCGACCCUGGGGACCCCACCCUGUGGAGCCCCAGUGACCCUGCCAGGUCUGGCCUCGCUCCCCAGCUCCUGCAGAACGGGGGGGGGGGGGGGGCUUCCUAGCCGCCACGCACUUGCCCAGGCCAGGUCCCUGUCCUGCCUCCACUCAGCCUUCCCCAAGCCCGUGUGCGCUCUGCUGUCGGAGCUGCCCUCUCCCCCGCACCUGCGGGAACACAGUUGCCUCUCAAUAAACGUGUUUUAAAAAAGGA
Oryctolagus cuniculus (rabbit) is the source of this 5099-nucleotide non-coding RNA. Lineage: Eukaryota; Metazoa; Chordata; Mammalia; Lagomorpha; Leporidae. The record is from RefSeq and is a predicted model, not a curated record.